This 90-nucleotide microRNA precursor is filed under the name Marmota monax (woodchuck). The record is from RNAcentral. Lineage: Eukaryota; Metazoa; Chordata; Mammalia; Rodentia; Sciuridae.
ACAGGAAUCCCCUGGGGAUCUUGUUAAAAUGAAGAUUCUGAUUCAGAAAGUAGAUUCUGCAGCCCUGAGGAGCUUCCAGGUGAUACAGAC